UACGUAGGGAGCAAGCGUUGUUCGGAUUUACUGGGCGUAAAGGGCGCGUAGGCGGCGUGUUAAGUCAGCUGUGAAAUCUCUGAGCUCAACUCAGAACGGCCAGCUGAUACUGAUGUGCUAGAGUGCAGAAGGGGCAACCGGAAUUCUUGGUGUAGCGGUGAAAUGCGUAGAUAUCAAGAGGAACACCUGAGGCGAAGGCGGGUUGCUGGGCUGACACUGACGCUGAGGCGCGAAAGCCAGGGGAGCAAAC
This 250-nucleotide ribosomal RNA is filed under the name uncultured bacterium. Its description in RNAcentral is "partial 16S ribosomal RNA". It matches the Rfam family "Bacterial small subunit ribosomal RNA", at positions 524 to 773 of the family's 1533-position model. The record is from RNAcentral.